Molecule: ribosomal RNA, 254 nt
Filed under: uncultured bacterium
Lineage: Bacteria
Description: partial 16S ribosomal RNA
Rfam family: Bacterial small subunit ribosomal RNA
Source: RNAcentral
UACGAAGGGGGCUAGCGUUGCUCGGAAUCACUGGGCGUAAAGGGCGUGUAGGCGGGUAGAUAAGUCGGGCGUGAAAUCCCUAGGCUCAACCCAGGAACUGCACUCGAAACUUCUUUUCUUGAGUGCCGGAGAGGAAAGCGGAAUUCCUGGUGUAGAGGUGAAAUUCGUAGAUAUCAGGAGGAACACCAGUGGCGAAGGCGGCUUUCUGGACGGUAACUGACGCUGGAGACGCGAAAGCGUGGGGAGCAAACAGG